Molecule: non-coding RNA, 71 nt
Filed under: unclassified sequences
Description: 62-dG-II sequence
Rfam family: 2dG-II purine riboswitch aptamer
About the family: Purine riboswitch variant that recognize 2'-deoxyguanosine
Source: Rfam by way of RNAcentral
GUUGCUUGUAAUCUUCAAGAUUGGUUGAAGAGCAUCCACCUAAAGACCCACAUCUUUAGUCACCAGGCAAA